Molecule: ribosomal RNA, 527 nt
Filed under: uncultured bacterium
Lineage: Bacteria
Description: partial 16S ribosomal RNA
Rfam family: Bacterial small subunit ribosomal RNA
Source: RNAcentral
UGGGGAAUUUUGGACAAUGGGCGAAAGCCUGAUCCAGCAAUGCCGCGUGUGUGAAGAAGGCCUUCGGGUUGUAAAGCACUUUUGUCCGGAAAGAAAUCCUUGGCUCUAAUACAGUCGGGGGAUGACGGUACCGGAAGAAUAAGCACCGGCUAACUACGUGCCAGCAGCCGCGGUAAUACGUAGGGUGCAAGCGUUAAUCGGAAUUACUGGGCGUAAAGCGUGCGCAGGCGGUUUGCUAAGACCGAUGUGAAAUCCCCGGGCUCAACCUGGGAACUGCAUUGGUGACUGGCAGGCUAGAGUAUGGCAGAGGGGGGUAGAAUUCCACGUGUAGCAGUGAAAUGCGUAGAGAUGUGGAGGAAUACCGAUGGCGAAGGCAGCCCCCUGGGCCAAUACUGACGCUCAUGCGCGAAAGCGUGGGGAGCAAACAGGAUUAGAUACCCUGGUAGUCCACGCCCUAAAACGAUGUCAACUAGUUGUUGGGGAUUCAUUUCCUUAGUAACGUAGCUAACGCGUGAAGUUGACCGCCU